RNAcentral lists this transfer RNA (77 nucleotides) under Burkholderiaceae bacterium. Its description in RNAcentral is "tRNA-OTHER". Lineage: Bacteria; Pseudomonadati; Pseudomonadota; Betaproteobacteria; Burkholderiales; Burkholderiaceae. The record is from RNAcentral.
GCGCGGUGUACCCCGAUGGGCAAGGGGGCCCCCCCGCAAGGGGGUGGUUGAUGUUGGUUCGAGUCCAACCCCGCGCG